RNAcentral lists this ribosomal RNA (497 nucleotides) under uncultured bacterium. Its description in RNAcentral is "partial 16S ribosomal RNA". It matches the Rfam family "Bacterial small subunit ribosomal RNA", at positions 28 to 507 of the family's 1533-position model. The record is from RNAcentral.
GACGAACGCUGGCGGCGUGCCUAAUACAUGCAAGUUGAGCGAUGAAGAUUGGUGCUUGCACCAAUUUGAAGAGCAGCGAACGGGUGAGUAACGCGUGGGGAAUCUGCCUUUGAGCGGGGGACAACAUUUGGAAACGAAUGCUAAUACCGCAUAACAACUUUAAACAUAAGUUUUAAGUUUGAAAGAUGCAAUUGCAUCACUCAAAGAUGAUCCCGCGUUGUAUUAGCUAGUUGGUGAGGUAAAGGCUCACCAAGGCGAUGAUACAUAGCCGACCUGAGAGGGUGAGCGGCCACAUUGGGACUGAGACACGGCCCAAACUCCUACGGGAGGCAGCAGUAGGGAAUCUUCGGCAAUGGACGAAAGUCUGACCGAGCAACGCCGCGUGAGUGAAGAAGGUCUUCGGAUCGUAAAACUCUGUUGGUAGAGAAGAACGUUGGUGAGAGUGGAAAGCUCAUCAAGUGACGGUAACUACCCAGAAAGGGACGGCUAACUACGUG